AUGCCCAUACAUGCGAUGGUGGCGGUGGACCUACCAGUGAAAACCAUCGAAGCUGCAAAUAAGAUAUGUCGCGGUUUUCUGUGGAAGGGACGACGGGACGUGCAUGGCGGUCAUUGUCUAGUGGCAUGGGAUCAUGUGUGCAUGCCAAAGGAACAUGGCAGCCUCGGCAUCCCGAAUUUGCGCAUCCUCAAUGCCGCACUCCGAGCAAGAUGGUUGUUAAUGCAAACGGAGCGCGACCGGCCAUGGAAUGAGUUCAACAUUCAAGUGUCUCCGGACUCCUUGAGCAUAUACAAGGCAGCGACGAAGUGCACGACAGAAAAUGGAGAGGUGGCUUUGUUCUGGACAGAUUGAUGGUUAUGGGAUGGAAGAAUCCAAGACCUCAUGCCAAGCCUAUUCAUUGCAGUCAAAAGGAGAGCGCGAAAGAGAACAGUGAGACAAGCCAUAACCAAAGGUUGGUGGCUAGAUGUGUCGCCUAACAUGAGCCCCCAAGCUCUCACCGAGUUCCUGCAGCUUGUGGACAGAACCCAACAUAUUCAGCUCGUGGAUGGCAUGGAAGAUAAAUUGGUCUGGGCUUGGGAACCAAAUGGGUGCUUCUAGGCGAGAUCGGCCUAUCGGGCAUUCUUUGCUGGGAGAGUGGAGGCCGCUGGGGCCGUGCAAAUCUGGCGGUCAAGAGCGCCGGCGACCUGCAAAUUCUUCGCAUGGCUGGCGGCUCGGGAGAGGUGUUGGAUGGCUGACAGGCUUGCGCGUCGGCACCUACCGCAUCCUCUGGCUUGCCCCUUCUGUGAUCGGGAGCCGGAGACAAUGAACUACAUUCUUCUCGGCUGCGUCUUUGCUAAACAAGUGUGGCUCUCCAUUCUCGACCACUGGGACAAACUAACUUGAUUGCCAACUGCGGAUGACAAUCUGGUGGAAUGGUGGACCUCCAUCAACCCGCAGCCAAAGCUUAGGAAGGAGACAUGGACCGUCAUUGAGUUGGUGGCUUGGAUGUUGUGGAAACACAGAAAUGAUGUAGUGUUCAAUGGAGCGACAGCCUCCACAAGUGAGCUCCUCAGGAAGAUUGAUCUACAAGGGCAAGACUGGAGGGCGGCAGGGCUACUGCGAGAGGCGGGAUCACUCCCGAUUAGAGUAAAUGAGUGGGCUAGUAGUGAGUAA
This 1152-nucleotide ribosomal RNA is filed under the name Triticum aestivum (bread wheat). RNAcentral's name for it is "partial small subunit ribosomal RNA". Lineage: Eukaryota; Viridiplantae; Streptophyta; Magnoliopsida; Poales; Poaceae. The record is from RNAcentral.